RNAcentral lists this ribosomal RNA (582 nucleotides) under uncultured bacterium. Its description in RNAcentral is "partial 16S ribosomal RNA". It matches the Rfam family "Bacterial small subunit ribosomal RNA", at positions 355 to 1363 of the family's 1533-position model. The record is from RNAcentral.
UGAGGAAUAUUGGUCAAUGGGCGAGAGCCUGAACCAGUCAAGUCGCGUGAAGGAAGACUGCCUUAUGGGUUGUAAACUUCUUUUAUACAGGAAUAAAAAGGCUUACGUGUAGGCCAUUGCAAGUACUGUAUGAAUAAGCAUCGGCUAACUCCGUGCCAGCAGCCGCGGUAAUACGGAGGAUGCGAGCGUUAUCCGGAUUUAUUGGGUUUAAAGGGUGCGCAGGCGGGCUUUUAAGUCAGCGGUGAAAUCUGGACGCUUAACGUCCAAACUGCCGUUGAAACUGGGAGUCUUGAGUAUGGAUGAAGUAGGCGGAAUUCGUUGUGUAGCGGUGACAUGCAUAGAUAUAACGAGGAACUCCGAUUGCGUAGGCAGCUUACUAAGCCAUAACUGACGCUCAUGCACGAAAGCGUGGGGAUCAAACAGGAUUAGAUACCCUGGUAGUCCACGCCGUAAACGAUGAUUACUAGUUGUAUGCGAUAUGAUAGUAUGUGACUAAGCGAAAGCGAUAAGUAAUCCACCUGGGGAGUACGCCGGCAACGGUGAAACUCAAAGGAAUUGACGGGGGUCAUAGCUGUUUUCCUG